RNAcentral lists this transfer RNA (75 nucleotides) under Sphingomonas sp. Its description in RNAcentral is "tRNA-Val". It matches the Rfam family "tRNA". From Rfam's summary of the family: Transfer RNA (tRNA) molecules are approximately 80 nucleotides in length. Their secondary structure includes four short double-helical elements and three loops (D, anti-codon, and T loops). The record is from RNAcentral. RNAcentral also lists the same sequence under 78 other names. Lineage: Bacteria; Pseudomonadati; Pseudomonadota; Alphaproteobacteria; Sphingomonadales; Sphingomonadaceae.
GGGCGCGUAGCUCAGUGGUAGAGCACACCCUUCACACGGGUGGGGUCGUAGGUUCAAUCCCUACCGCGCCCACCA